RNAcentral lists this ribosomal RNA (201 nucleotides) under uncultured bacterium. RNAcentral's name for it is "partial 16S ribosomal RNA". It matches the Rfam family "Bacterial small subunit ribosomal RNA", at positions 524 to 723 of the family's 1533-position model. The record is from RNAcentral.
UACAUGGGGUGCAAACGUUGCUCGGAAUUAUUGGGCGUAAAGCGCACGUAGGCGGUUCGUUAAGUCGGAUGUGAAAGCCCUCGGCUCAACUGAGGAAGUGCACCCGAAACUGGCGAGCUUGAGUACGAAAGAGGAUCGCGGAAUUCCCGGUGUAGAGGUGAAAUUCGUAGAUAUCGGGGAGGAACACCGGUGGCGAAGGCG